ACUCAAAUGAAUUGACGGGGGCCCGCACAAGCGGCGGAGCGUGCUCUUUAAUUCGUCGCAACGCGAAGAACCUUACCAGGGUUUGACAUGGAUCUGCAGAGCCGUGAAAGCGGUUGGCCUUCGAGGGUGAUCCACAGGUGCUGCAUGGCUGUCGUCAGCUCGUGUCGUGAGAUGUUGGGUUAAGUCCCGCAACGAGCGCAACCCUUGUGUCCAGUUGCGAUUUUCUGGACAGACUGCCGGGAGCAAACCGGAGGAAGGUGGGGAUGACGUCAAGUCAGCAUGGCCCUUACACCCUGGGCGAGAAGCACGCUACAAUGGCCGGGACAGAGGGUUGCCAAGCGGUAACGUGGAGCUAAUCCCCCAAACCCGGUCUCAGUUCGGAUCGAGGGCUGCAACUCGCCCUCGUGAAGCUGGAGUCGCUAGUAACCGCAGGUCAGCACUACUGCGGUGAAUAUGUUCCCGGGCCUUGUACACACCGCCCGU
RNAcentral lists this ribosomal RNA (483 nucleotides) under uncultured bacterium. RNAcentral's name for it is "partial 16S ribosomal RNA". It matches the Rfam family "Bacterial small subunit ribosomal RNA", at positions 899 to 1397 of the family's 1533-position model. The record is from RNAcentral.